GGUGGUUCUUAGGUGACAUACCCCAGGACUGGGCUCCCUCCUCUCUGGUUCUGGGGUGCAUGACCCCAGAACCGCU
Myotis brandtii (Brandt's bat) is the source of this 76-nucleotide non-coding RNA. The record is from Rfam. Lineage: Eukaryota; Metazoa; Chordata; Mammalia; Chiroptera; Vespertilionidae.